AACAGUGAUUGAGCAUCUGGUGGGAAGGCAGGGCCAACCCAGGGGAGCAAUGCACCCGAGUGACUGGAAGUGGUGCAGCCAGGAUCCACCCUUUCCCAGACCUCAUUUCAGGGUUGGCAGUGGAGGUGAGGGCAUCUUUUGCUGGAGAUCCCUAACUACCUGAGGCCUUCUAAAGUUCUGAGAAGGGAACCUUGAGGAAUUUAAUGGCUACUGUUGGAAGAAAGUGAAGAGAAUUUCUGUCUAUGGACUCAGAAAUUUUGAACUACCAUGGAGCAGUGGCCCCUUAACCACAUUCAGACAGAAGCAAGGACUGUCUAUGCUGAUGCCUUAUAUGUCUGACUGUACCACAGACACAGUAAUGAUGACAUUUUUGUAACAGCCAUUCAUUCAGUGUCAACCUAAAUCAUACUGAUUUGUGAAUCAGAACUUUCUGCU
Molecule: long non-coding RNA, 435 nt
Organism: Gallus gallus (chicken)
Lineage: Eukaryota; Metazoa; Chordata; Aves; Galliformes; Phasianidae
Exons: 2
Source: RefSeq, a predicted model, not a curated record